UGCUAUUUCUCUUCAUUUGCAAGCUUAAUCUAUUAUUGUUUUAAUGGGUUGAACUUUUUUGAAUGGUAUAAGCAAAUCAAGUUUCAUUUAGGUGUCUUAAACCUUGACUUGGCAUUAUUGGAAGAUUAACUUGCUACUAUUAUGGAUAAAAGUAGUGAAAAAGAGAAGUUAUACUAUAAGUAAUGGGAAUGGUUAAACAAAUUAAGUCUUAUGUUUUUUUGCAAAUGAUUAUUGUCAACAACAUUAGGACUACAAUUCCACAAACUGAAAGUGCAAAAGAAUAACUUAAACUUGUGAACCUUAAACUUAUGAAAUAUAUGUUCCAUUUUGAAGUUAAGUCACUUCCUAGUACUCUAAUGGCAUAACUCAUGACGAUGAAGUAUGAUGGAUCGAAGAGUAUGCAAAAGCACAUUAUUGGAAUGAGUGAUAUUGUGGCAAAACUAGAAAUGUUAAGGAUGACAAUUGAUAAUUCCUUCUUAGUGUAGUUCAUUCUAAACUCACUAUCUCCUAAAUAUAGGCCAUUUCAAAUUAAUUACAACACUAUUAAGGAUAAGUGAAAUGGUCAUGAAUUGGCUAGUAAGCUAGUUUAGGAGGAAACAAGACUAAAGAAUCAAGAAACUCAUUCCGUCACCAUUAUGGGUCAAGAAGUGGAUGAAGGACUUAAAGUUAAAGCCUACAAGUUUAAGAAAAAAAGAAAGGAUCUUUAAAUGUUACUUAGGCCGAGGAAAAGGAACAAAUGGUAGUAGGACACAAUAAGAAAGAUUGCCUGAAAGAUAAAACUUGAUUUGAAAAGAAAGGUAAUAUUUAUGCUUAUGUAUAUUUCAAAUCAAACUUAUUUAAAGUUCCUAAUGAUACUUGGUGAUUUGAUUUUGGUAUUACUAUUUACAUAUCCAAUGUGAUAAAAGGAUUCCUUAAGGUCCAAAUUGAAAACCUAACUAAAACUUCCUAUUUAUGGGGAACCAUAUAAAGGCUCCAAUUGAAGGCAUAGAGACUUACCAUUGAUCUUAGAUAAUGGCUAUGAACUAGACCUAUUACAAACUUUUUAUGUGCCUUUAAUUUCUAGGAAUAUCAUUUUUGUUUCAAAACUUGAUGAAUUUGGGUUCAAUAUUAAGUUCGGGCAUAGAUAUUUCAGUUUAUUUAAUAAUAAUGAUAAUUCCAUUAUUAUUUCUAGAAUUCUUAUUGAUAGUCUAUAUUGACUGAAACUUGAUGAUAAUUUUGUUGAAUCAUUGCGUGUCACUUAUAGCAAUAUUGGAAUUAAGCAUAGUAGACUGAAUGAGAAUUCUG
This 1284-nucleotide unclassified non-coding RNA is filed under the name Hevea brasiliensis (rubber tree). Lineage: Eukaryota; Viridiplantae; Streptophyta; Magnoliopsida; Malpighiales; Euphorbiaceae. The record is from RNAcentral.